This 409-nucleotide ribosomal RNA is filed under the name uncultured soil bacterium. RNAcentral describes it as "bacterial SSU rRNA". It matches the Rfam family "Bacterial small subunit ribosomal RNA", at positions 26 to 425 of the family's 1533-position model. The record is from RNAcentral.
AGAUUGAACGCUGGCGGCAUGCCUUACACAUGCAAGUCGAACGGUAACGCGGGGCAACCUGGCGACGAGUGGCGAACGGGUGAGUAAUGCAUCGGAACGUGCCCAGUAGUGGGGGAUAGCCCGGCGAAAGCCGGAUUAAUACCGCAUACGACCUACGGGUGAAAGCGGGGGACUCGCAAGAGCCUCGCGCUAUUGGAGCGGCCGAUGUCAGAUUAGCUUAGUUGGUAGGGUAAAAGCCUACCGAAGGCGACGAUCUGUAGCUGGUCUGAGAGGACGACCAGCCACACUGGACUGAGACACGCCAGACUCCGUACGGGAGGCAGCGAGGUAGGGGAAUUUAGGACAAGUGGGCGCAAGCCUAGACUCCAGCCGAUCGGCCGCGUGGACGGGAAGAGGUACCGUCGGGUUA